This 277-nucleotide ribosomal RNA is filed under the name uncultured Thiobacillus sp. RNAcentral describes it as "partial 16S ribosomal RNA". It matches the Rfam family "Bacterial small subunit ribosomal RNA", at positions 1099 to 1382 of the family's 1533-position model. Lineage: Bacteria; Pseudomonadati; Pseudomonadota; Betaproteobacteria; Nitrosomonadales; Thiobacillaceae. The record is from RNAcentral.
CAACCCUUAUCAUUAGUUGCUACGCAAGGGCACUCUAAUGAGACUGCCGGUGACAAACCGGAGGAAGUGGGGAUGACGUCAAGUCCUCAUGGCCCUUAUGGGUAGGGCUUCACACGUCAUACAAUGGUCGGUACAGAGGGUUGCCAAGCCGCGAGGCGGAGCCAAUCCCACAAAGCCGAUCGUAGUCCGGAUUGUUCUCUGCAACUCGAGAGCAUGAAGUCGGAAUCGCUAGUAAUCGCAGGUCAGCAUACUGCGGUGAAUACGUUCCCGGGUCCUU